AUGAACAAAACCCAUGGGUUUUCAGACAUGAUUGGAUCUAUCGAUUGCAUGCACAGAAAAUGGAAGAAUUCUACUACAACAUGGCAUGAAUUGUUCAAAGGAUGCAACAAGGAUGUCAUCAUCAUUCUUGAGGUCAUGGCUGAUAGGCUGACAAGAAUUUUGAAUGCAUAUUUUGGGAUGCUUGAAUCUUGCAAUAAUAUCAAUGUGCUCAAUCGAUCACCUCCUUUUGCAAAGUUAGCCAAUGAAGAGGAUCCAUCGGUGACCUUACAAGCAAACAGGCACACAAACAACUAUGGGCGCCACCUUUCGGAUGGGGUCUAUCCGAAGUGGGCUACUUUCGUGAAACCAAUCUCAAGCCCCCAAGGUAAGAAGGACAUUAUUUUCAGAAUGCUCAAGCGACUUCUAGAAAAGAUGUGGAGAGGGCUUUUGGGAUUUUACAGUCCCAAUUUGCUAUUGUGCGAGGACCGGCUACAUUUCGGGAUCAGGAGAACCUUAGUAUAUAAUGACUAUUUGUGUUUAUGCACUAGAUGA
RNAcentral lists this ribosomal RNA (531 nucleotides) under Triticum aestivum (bread wheat). Its description in RNAcentral is "partial small subunit ribosomal RNA". Lineage: Eukaryota; Viridiplantae; Streptophyta; Magnoliopsida; Poales; Poaceae. The record is from RNAcentral.